CCUACGGGAGGCAGCAGUGAGGAAUAUUGGUCAAUGGCCGGAAGGCUGAACCCGCAAUGCCGCGUGAAGGACAGGGACCUAGGGGCGUUAAAAUUCUUUUGUGCGGGAGCAAUAAUGGGCACGUGUGGCCAGACGAGAGUACCGUACGAAUCAGAAGCGGCUAACUCCGUGCCAGCAGCCGCGGUAGUACGGAGGGUGCACGAGUUAAUCGGAAUUACUGGGCGUAAAUCGCACGCGGGCGGUCUGUCAAGUCGGAUGUGAAAUACACGGGCUCAACCUGGGAACUGCAUUCGAAACUGGCAGGCUGGAGUCUUGUAGAGGGGGGUAGAAUUCCAGGUGUAGCGGUGAAAUGCGUAGAGAUCUGGAGGAAUACCGGUGGCGAAGGCGGCCCCCUGGACAAAGACUGACGCUCAGGUGCGAAAGCGUGGGGAGCAAACAGGAUUAGAUACCCCAGUAGUC
RNAcentral lists this ribosomal RNA (459 nucleotides) under uncultured bacterium. RNAcentral's name for it is "partial 16S ribosomal RNA". It matches the Rfam family "Bacterial small subunit ribosomal RNA", at positions 338 to 795 of the family's 1533-position model. The record is from RNAcentral.